GGCUUCAUGGUCUAGUGGUAUGAUUCCUGCUUCGGGCACAAAACCGGAGUCCUCGGUUCAUUAGAAUCGGCUUGCAGGAGGCCCCGGGUUCGAACCCCGGUGAAGCCC
Purpureocillium lilacinum is the source of this 108-nucleotide non-coding RNA. The record is from the annotation of a RefSeq genome assembly. Lineage: Eukaryota; Fungi; Ascomycota; Sordariomycetes; Hypocreales; Ophiocordycipitaceae.